GGAGAGGUCGCAUAGUGGCCUAGUGCGCCGCCUUGGAAAGGCGGUAUACCGAAAGGUAUCGAGGGUUCAAAUCCCUCCCUCUCCG
This 85-nucleotide transfer RNA is filed under the name Candidatus Magasanikiibacteriota bacterium. RNAcentral describes it as "tRNA-Ser". It matches the Rfam family "tRNA". Rfam says of the family: Transfer RNA (tRNA) molecules are approximately 80 nucleotides in length. Their secondary structure includes four short double-helical elements and three loops (D, anti-codon, and T loops). Further hydrogen bonds mediate the characteristic L-shaped molecular structure. tRNAs have two regions of fundamental functional importance: the anti-codon, which is responsible for specific mRNA codon recognition, and the 3' end, to which the tRNAs corresponding amino acid is attached (by aminoacyl-tRNA synthetases). tRNAs cope with the degeneracy of the genetic code in two manners: having more than one tRNA (with a specific anti-codon) for a particular amino acid; and 'wobble' base-pairing, i.e. permitting non-standard base-pairing at the 3rd anti-codon position. Lineage: Bacteria; Candidatus Magasanikiibacteriota. The record is from RNAcentral.